UACGAAGGACCCAAGCGUUAUCCGGAUUCAUUGGGCUUAAAGGGUGCGUAGGCGGGUUGAUAAGUCAGUGGUGAAAGCCCAACGCUUAACGUUGGAACUGCCAUUGAUACUGUCGAUCUUGAAUGUGUUUGAUGUGGGCGGAAUAUGACAUGUAGCGGUGAAAUGCUUAGAUAUGUCAUAGAACACCGAUUGCGAAGGCAGCUCACAAAGCCACUAUUGACGCUGAGGCACGAAAGCGUGGGGAUCAAACAGG
Molecule: ribosomal RNA, 253 nt
Filed under: uncultured bacterium
Lineage: Bacteria
Description: partial 16S ribosomal RNA
Rfam family: Bacterial small subunit ribosomal RNA
Source: RNAcentral